AUGGACGCGCCGAGCGCCACCGCCAAGCGCAAGCGCUCCUCCCCCGCCCCGGCCCCCGUCGGCGUCGACGACGUGUCGGACGCCGAGGUCGAGGAGUUCUACGCCAUCCUGCGCCGCAUGCGCGAUGCCUCGCGCCGGCUCGUCUCGGGCGGGGUCGCCGCGGCCACGGCCCGCGCCGCCCCGGCCCCGCGCGCGCCCGCCUGGUGCCCCAGCUUCUCCUGGGAGGACUUCGCGCCGCCCGCCCCGCCGCCGCCUCCUCCCUCGCAGCAGCAGCAGCGGGAGCCCGCCGACGAGCGCGUCGCCGAGAACGGCACGCCGCCGCGGCGGCCGGUCCUCCGCGGCCUCGACCUCAACGCCGAGCCGGAGCCCGAGGUGCAAGCCUAG
RNAcentral lists this ribosomal RNA (384 nucleotides) under Triticum aestivum (bread wheat). RNAcentral's name for it is "partial small subunit ribosomal RNA". Lineage: Eukaryota; Viridiplantae; Streptophyta; Magnoliopsida; Poales; Poaceae. The record is from RNAcentral.